This is a long non-coding RNA of Saccostrea echinata, 1960 nucleotides long. RefSeq lists it as uncharacterized. Lineage: Eukaryota; Metazoa; Mollusca; Bivalvia; Ostreida; Ostreidae. The record is from RefSeq and is a predicted model, not a curated record. The transcript has 3 exons.
CUUUAGAUGUUACUAUUUUAAACAAUCUUAUGCAAUUUCAGUUUACAGUGAUUACAAAUUGAUUAUUGAUAUGUUUUAUUUCCUUGAAAUAGGCCACAUGUGGAGAUUUUCCACUAAGGCACCAAGACUCGUCAAACCUCUACAUCAAAAUACUUAUUUGUAAGACAACUGGAGUGACACUCGCCAAACUUCUAGUAUAGCACACCACGAUUUUACAGCUGAAUAUCGACAAAACUAGGACUUUUUACCUCCAAUGCCUACAUCAACACUAGCUGCUACAGAUCAUGGACAGAUGUACAGGAAUAUAAACCUUUCACACACUAUAACACAUGACACCUUGAGAGAUUCACCAUCAACUCUGCCAGCACCACCACCACAACAAUUACCACCAUCACAACAAUCGUCACCGCCAGCACCACCAUCACCCAUCCUAUCACCACAAUCACCUCUGCCAGCACCAUCCACUGAAACUGAAACACUUCACAUGUCAUCACCACCACUUAGACGCUCAUCCAGGAAGCACAAGGGAGGACAACAGGAAAAGAUAAAGCUUGUCGAGGGUAAAACACGGAGGUAGACCCGGAUGGCAUGAGGAUAGCCACUUCUUCCGCAAGGAAAUCGAAGAAGCCAGGGUACACACUUUGUUACUAACUCCUGGCAGAGCUUUUCUCCUUGCAAACUCUGGCCAUUUCUCGUGGCCAGGGCAUAAGGAAAAAGACACGCGGCUAGGAUAAGGCUGUCCGUAAAAUAUCAAACUGUUCCAACUGUAUUAACUUCUCUGAACUACCUAAAUAUGACGUCAUAAUAGCAUAUGACGUAAAGAUUUUUUAGCGUUGUUGUUUGAUUCAAGUGUCUGAAUUGUUCUUUAAGCUUAAGUGUCCUUUUAAGAUGUUGAACAUUUGCAAUUUAAUAUCGUUAUUCCUUUAACUUGUCCGAUAUACAUAUAUUCAAACAAUAACAAAAAAUUGACUGCAAAACGCUCCCCCUUACACGUCCGUGGACAGAGUUAGAAUCUAUAAAUCGUGUAUAUAUUUGAUUGGCACAAGUGAUUAAUAAGGAUAAAUUGAAGAUAUUCGCUGUGAAUCUACUAGAGAAGUAUGUCCUCUAACUGAAUUUUGCUGGGGGAUUGUAUGUAAUUUAUCUUAUUUUGUAUUAAUUGCGAUUAUGAGUGGAAAUUGCCCCCUUGUAUACGGGUAAGUUGAAUUUCUCAUUGAAUAUUUUCUAAAGAAAUAAAAUUCAGACUUGCCCCCAGCACUUUAUAUGUACCAAAGAUCACGAUGAAUUGACUUAUGGGACAAAUUUUUCUCAAUAAUGUUGUUUUGCACUUGUGCCGAUGCGAUUUUUGUGCAACAUUUAGGAAUUUAUAAGUGUCAUUCACGUGAUCAACGAAGUCAUGUGACAUCUCAGAAAUGCAUUAUUAUAAUACUUGUUUACACUCUCAUCACAAGUUGACUGCAAAUUCAUACAUAGAUUACAAAUUGAAAUCAAAAUCUAGCUCAGAAUAAAAGGUAUAUUUCAUGCAUAUUAAACCUUCGGACAGCCUUAACAUAGCUGCGCAACGGAAGAUCAAGGCCCGUACUUGAUGGCGACAAAAUCAGUGUCCUUACAAAUUUUGUUGUUGUAUGGUGCAAGAAAAACGGCUUCCUUGUUGGAUCAACCAUAUGAUGCCAUAACAGAGAGAAUCAAUAUUCUAGGAAACAGUUAAGGCCGAAAAAAAAAUAAAUGUGACUCUGACUUGAAUCUUUACAUGCAUGAACAUGCAUGAAGAAAAUUUUUACUUUUACAAAUGCUGAAACUUUAAUGUUACUCUGACUUGAAUAUAUAAACGCAUGAACAUGUAGGAAGAAAAUUUUUACUUUUCAAUACAAAUGUUGAAACAAUGCGACUCUAACUUGAAUGUUUACAUGUAUGAACAGGUAUGAAGAAAAUUUUUACUUUUCAAUACAAAUGCUGAAACUUG